UUGGUUGAAUUUGGUUGAGUAGUUUUAGAGGAGAAGAUUUUUUUAAAGUUAGCAAAUAUGAUGAACAAAUUGUGAAAAAUUGUCAUUAAAGGACAAUAACCCCUUAAGGGGUCAAUUGACAAUUUUGGUCAUAUUAACUUAUUUGUAGAUCUUACUUUGCUGAUCAUUUUUGCUGUUUACAGUUUAUCUUUAUCUAUAAUAAUAUUCAAGAUAAUGACCAAAAACUGCAAACUUUCCUUAAAAUUACCAAUUAAGUGGCAGCAACCCAACAAUGGGUUGUUUGAUUCAUCUGAAAAUUUUAGGGCUGAUAGAUCUUGACCUAAUGAACAUUUUUACCCCCAUGUCAGAUUUGCUUUAAAUGCUUUAGUUUUUGAGAUAUAAGCCAAAAACUGCAUUUGACCCCUAUGUUCUAUUUUAAGUAACGGCGGCCAUGUUUUUUGACGGAUCAAAAAUCGAAGCACAAACUUUGUGCAGGAUAAUCUAAGGAACAAUCAUGCUAAGUUUCAUCCAAAUCCAUUUAGUAGUUUCAGAGGAGAAGAUGUUUGAAAAAUUGUUAACGACGACAGACGACGACGACGGACGCCAAGUGAUGAGAAAAGCUCACAUUUCCUUUUAGGAAAGGUGAGCUAAAAACUGCAAAAUUUCCUUAAAAUUACCAAUUCAGGGGCAGCAACCUAGCAACGUGUCGUCCGAUCCAUCUGAAUAUUUCAGGGCAGAUAGAUUUUGACCUGAUAAACAAUUCAACCACAGUCAGAUUUGAUCUUAAUGCUUUGGUUUUUGACAUUUUACCCCUAUGUUCUACUUUUAGCCGUGACAGCCAUCUUGUUUGGAUGGCCGGGUCACCGGACACAUUUUUUAAACUAAAUACCCAAAAGAUGAUUGUGGCCAAGUUUGGAUUAAUUUGGCCCAGUAGUUUCAGAGAAGAAGAUUUUUGUAAAAGAUUACUAA
Molecule: long non-coding RNA, 948 nt
Filed under: Mytilus galloprovincialis (Mediterranean mussel)
Lineage: Eukaryota; Metazoa; Mollusca; Bivalvia; Mytilida; Mytilidae
Source: RNAcentral